GCCUCGCGGGUGCAGUGGUUCUUAACAGUUCAACAGUUCUUUAGGCUAAUUGUGAAAUGUUUAGGACCACUUGACCCGCG
RNAcentral lists this microRNA precursor (80 nucleotides) under Alligator mississippiensis (American alligator). RNAcentral describes it as "mir-203 microRNA precursor family". It matches the Rfam family "mir-203 microRNA precursor family". Lineage: Eukaryota; Metazoa; Chordata; Crocodylia; Alligatoridae. The record is from Rfam by way of RNAcentral.